RNAcentral lists this ribosomal RNA (429 nucleotides) under Gemmatimonadota bacterium. Its description in RNAcentral is "Gemmatimonadetes bacterium partial 16S ribosomal RNA". It matches the Rfam family "Bacterial small subunit ribosomal RNA", at positions 355 to 776 of the family's 1533-position model. The record is from RNAcentral. Lineage: Bacteria; Pseudomonadati; Gemmatimonadota.
UAGGGAAUCUUCGGCAAUGGACGAAAGUCUGACCGAGCAACGCCGCGUGAGUGAAGAAGGCUUCCGGAUCGUAAAACUCUGUUGUUAGAGAAGAACAAGGACGUUAGUAACUGAACGUCCCCUGACGGUAUCUAACCAGAAAGCCACGGCUAACUACGUGCCAGCAGCCGCGGUAAUACGUAGGUGGCAAGCGUUUUCCGGAUUUAUUGGGUGUAAAGCGAGCGCAGGCGGUUUCUUAAGUCCGAUGUGAAAGCCCCCGCCUCAACCGGGGAUGGUCAUUGUAAACUGGGGGGCUUGGGUGCAGAAGAGGCAGGUGGACUUCCAUGUGUAGCGGUUAACUACGUAAAAAUAUGGAGGAACACCAGUGGCGAGGCCGGUUAUCUGGACUGUAACUAACACUGAGGCUAGAAAGCGUGGGGAGCAAACAGG